Molecule: ribosomal RNA, 498 nt
Filed under: uncultured bacterium
Lineage: Bacteria
Description: partial 16S ribosomal RNA
Rfam family: Bacterial small subunit ribosomal RNA
Source: RNAcentral
AUUGAACGCUGGCGGCAUGCCUUACACAUGCAAGUCGAACGGGCUUUGGGGCUUGCUCCAAAGUUAGUGGCGAACGGGUGAGUAAUAUAUCGGAACGUACCCUAGAGUGGGGGAUAACUAGUCGAAGGACUGGCUAAUACCGCAUACGAUCUAAGGAUGAAAGUGGGGGACCGCAAGGCCUCAUGCUCAUGGAGCGGCCGAUAUCUGAUUAGCUAGUUGGUAGGGUAAAAGCCUACCAAGGCGACGAUCAGUAGCUGGUCUGAGAGGACGAUCAGCCACACUGGGACUGGGACACGGCCCAGACUCCUACGGGAGGCAGCAGUGGGGAAUUUUGGACAAUGGGGGAAACCCUGAUCCAGCAAUGCCGCGUGAGUGAAGAAGGCCUUCGGGUUGUAAAGCUCUUUUGUCAGGGAAGAAACGGUGGGGGCUAAUAUCCUCUGCUAAUGACGGUACCUGAAGAAUAAGCACCGGCUAACUACGUGCCAGCCGCCGCAGUAA